UUGGCCCUAUCGCUGUGGCGGCAUCCCAACCGUCGUAGCGGCGCCGCCACAGCUGCAUCUCUACCGCCGUGGCGGUGACGGGCAAUCAAUUUUCAUUAAAUGUGUCUUAAAUAAAUCCUAGACCCUCAUUAUUUCUCAUCUCGAUAUUUGAGCUUGGAGAAACUGUUUUUGGAGAUAAUUUGAAGAAAUUCUUGGAGGUAAAGCUUUCCUAAUCCUUUACCUUUCCUUAAUCACAAUCAUCUUAGAUUUCCUCCUUCCCUUUAACAAUUCCUUAGAGAUGGAAUUUGAGAGAGGGUUUAUGAAGAACAUUUCCCUAGAUUAUUAAUGAUAAAUUGAUGAUGGUUAUGCUAAAACUUGAAGAAUCUAAGCUUAUUAAUCACGUAUCUUCCACUUUUAACGUUGAAUUUCGGAUUUGGAGACUUAGGAUUUAUACCCAAAUUGGGGGUUUUUACUUGAAAUCAGAUUUAGGCCAAUUCUUGAGUUAAAUCAACAACUAGUGGUUGGGUUAUGAUCACCUAGUACUUAAUUUGGUAUUUUGCCCGCGAAUUUUUCGUUUUGCCCUUGUGGGCCCGUUUCCCCAAUUUCUAGGGUUAGAAUUGACCUAAUUGAAAUAGUAGCAAUAUGGGUAUCAUUCUUCAUGAUUUCUAAUAUAGAAUUCGAUUAUGCGUAGACUGCUUUGGUUCUGAGCUUCAGAGGAAGGGCAAGGCAAAAGAGUGACUUGUUGGUGUUGCGGUUCGGCAGUCCAGAGUACUAGGUCGGAUCUACUUCUCUGACCCGUGGUUGAUCGACUCUUCAGCUUCCACUCGAGUUUUCCAGGGUGAGGCGUCCGCUGACCUUGAAGACUCUCCUAUUUUCAUGUCUUACUUUAUUUCAUAGACAUAGACAUUAUGUAUUAGUACUUCCAGAUUGUAUAAUUCUCCCUAGAUACUCUUGUAUUAUUCAGACUAGACUCUGAGGGUAUUUACUGUCUUCCGCACUUUUUACUACUAUCUACCUAUAUAUAUCAUGAGACUUACGUA
Lycium ferocissimum is the source of this 1019-nucleotide long non-coding RNA. RefSeq lists it as uncharacterized. The transcript has 2 exons. The record is from RefSeq and is a predicted model, not a curated record. NCBI's taxonomy places the organism in Eukaryota, Viridiplantae, Streptophyta, Magnoliopsida, Solanales, Solanaceae.